AUUGAACGCUGGCGGAAUGCUUUACACAUGCAAGUCGAACGGCAGCACGGGUGCUUGCACCUGGUGGCGAGUGGCGAACGGGUGAGUAAUACAUCGGAACGUACCCAGUCGUGGGGGAUGACGUAGCGAAAGUUACGCUAAUACCGCAUACGUCCUGAGGGAGAAAGCGGGGGACCGUAAGGCCUCGCGCGAGUGGAGCGGCCGAUGGCGGAUUAGCUAGUUGGUGGGGUAAAGGCCUACUAAGGCGACGAUCCGUAGCGGGUCUGAGAGGACGGCCCGCCACACUGGAACUGAGACGCGGUCCAGACUCCUACGGGAGGCAGCAGUGGGGAAUAUUGGACAAUGGGCGAAAGCCUGAUCCAGCCAUUCCGCGUGAGUGAAGAAGGCCUUCGGGUUGUAAAGCUCUUUCGGCAGGGAAGAAACGGCUUGGGAUAAUACCCCGGGCUAAUGACGGUACCUGAAGAAGAAGCACCGGCUAACUACGUGCCAGCCGCCGCAGUAA
RNAcentral lists this ribosomal RNA (502 nucleotides) under uncultured bacterium. Its description in RNAcentral is "partial 16S ribosomal RNA". It matches the Rfam family "Bacterial small subunit ribosomal RNA", at positions 29 to 523 of the family's 1533-position model. The record is from RNAcentral.